Molecule: ribosomal RNA, 1307 nt
Filed under: Siphona sp. 1 HNL-2023a
Lineage: Eukaryota; Metazoa; Arthropoda; Insecta; Diptera; Tachinidae
Description: 16S ribosomal RNA
Source: RNAcentral
AUUUUAACAUUAAUUAAUUUAUAAUAUUAAAAAUAUUUAUAAAUUAAAUUUGUUUUAGUAUUUUUAAAGAAAGAAUAAUUUUAAUAAUAGAUUAUUAGUAUUGUAAAAGAAUAUUGAAAUAUAUUGAAAAAUUAUUUUUUAAAAAGAAAAUUUUAAUUAUUGUACCUUGUGUAUCAGGGUUUAUUUAUUAAAAUUUAAUUAUAAUAAAUUUCUCGAUUUUAAAAGAGUUAAUAUAUUAAAGAAUUUAAUGUAAUAAAAUUAUUUUUUAUAGUAUAUUUGAAAUGAAAUGUUAUUCGUUUUUAAAGGUAUCUAGUUUUUUAAGAAAUAAAUUUAAUUUAGAAAUUUUUUAGUUAUUAAUUUAAUUUAUUAAUUUAAUAAUUUUUUAAAUUUUAAUAUUUUAUGGGAUAAGCUAUAGAAUAAAUUUUUAUAAAUUAUUAAAUAUAAGAUAAAAAUUUAAGCUUAGAAUUAGUUAUUAUUAAUAAAAGUGUUAUAAUUUAUUUUAAUUAUAUAGUAUUUAGUUUAUUUUAAUAUAUUAUUAAGAUUUUUAUUUUAUUUUUAAAAAUAUAUAAAUAAUGAUAAAAUUAGUAUAUAAAUAUAUUGUAUAAUAUUAUUUAAUAGAAAAGUUUUUUUAAGGAAUUAGGCAAAAAUAAUUUUCGCCUGUUUAACAAAAACAUGUCUUUUUGAUUUAAUAAAAAGUCUAACCUGCCCACUGAAUAUUUUUUAAAUGGCCGCAGUAUUUUAACUGUGCAAAGGUAGCAUAAUCAUUAGUUUUUUAAUUGAGGACUGGUAUGAAUGGUUGGACGAGAAAUUAACUGUUUCAUUUAUAUUUAUUAUAGAAUUUUAUUUUUUAGUUAAAAAGCUAAAAUUUUUAUAAAAGACGAGAAGACCCUAUAAAUCUUUAUAUUUAUAAUUUUAUUAUUUUGUAGAUUUAUUUUAUAAUUAUAUUAUAUCAUAUUUUAUUGGGGUGAUAUUAAAAUUAGAUAAACUUUUAAUUAUAAAUUAAAUCAUUAAUUUAUGUUUUGUUGAUCCAAUUUUAUUGAUUAUUAGUAUAAGUUACUUUAGGGAUAACAGCGUUAUUUUUUUGGAGAGUUCAUAUUAAUAAAAAAUAUUGCGACCUCGAUGUUGGAUUAAGAUAAAUUUUAGGUGUAGAAGCUUAAAUUUUAAGUCUGUUCGACUUUUAAAUUCUUACAUGAUCUGAGUUCAAACCGGUGUAAGCCAGGUUGGUUUCUAUCUUUAUAUUAAUAAAUUAUUUUAGUACGAAAGGAUUAAAUAGUUAAUAAAUUAUUAUUUUUUUAAUAGAAUUUAAU